AGCAGCUAAUAGACAGUUCUCAGUCGAUGAUCCACACGACUUUUGCUAUCGAGCACCAUUCCGACUAUAGAUUUUGUCGGAAUGCAAUUCAAAUUUUAUACCCACAACUUGAUCUAUCAGAGCUGCCCAAUUUCGAGAUGAACAUGAAAGAUGCUUUGAUGUAGCUAUGCAAGAAGCGAGGGAAUACUUACAUAUUUUUCAAAUUCAUGAUUUUUCAUAGAGCGCAGCACAUCAAAGAUCUUGAUGGAGUAGUUUCCAAGGUCAAUGAAGUGCAACCAGCUGGCGAUGCCCCACC
This 295-nucleotide long non-coding RNA is filed under the name Elaeis guineensis (African oil palm). RNAcentral describes it as "long non-coding RNA (EGUI_LNC012066)". Lineage: Eukaryota; Viridiplantae; Streptophyta; Magnoliopsida; Arecales; Arecaceae. The record is from RNAcentral.